GAUGAACGCUGGCGGCGUGCCCAAUACAUGCAAGUCGAGCGAACAGACGAGGAGCUUGCUCCUCUGACGUUAGCGGCGGACGGGUGAGUAACACGUGGAUAACCUACCUAUAAGACUGGGAUAACUUCGGGAAACCGGAGCUAAUACCGGAUAAUAUAUUGAACCGCAUGGUUCAAUAGUGAAAGACGGUUUUGCUGUCACUUAUAGAUGGAUCCGCGCCGCAUUAGCUAGUUGGUAAGGUAACGGCUUACCAAGGCGACGAUGCGUAGCCGACCUGAGAGGGUGAUCGGCCACACUGGAACUGAGCAACGGUCCAGCCUCCUACGGGAGGCAGCAGUAGGGAAUCUUCCGCAAUGGGCGAAAGCCUGACGGAGCAACGCCGCGUGAGUGAUGAAGGUCUUCGGAUCGUAAAACUCUGUUAUUAGGGAAGAACAAAUGUGUAAGUAACUAUGCACGUCUUGACGGUACCUAAUCAGAAAGCCACGGCUAACUACGUG
RNAcentral lists this ribosomal RNA (497 nucleotides) under uncultured bacterium. Its description in RNAcentral is "partial 16S ribosomal RNA". It matches the Rfam family "Bacterial small subunit ribosomal RNA", at positions 28 to 507 of the family's 1533-position model. The record is from RNAcentral.